Molecule: long non-coding RNA, 938 nt
Filed under: Pan troglodytes (chimpanzee)
Lineage: Eukaryota; Metazoa; Chordata; Mammalia; Primates; Hominidae
Description: long non-coding RNA NONPTRT010194
Source: RNAcentral
AAUAUCUGGGACAGUGUCUUCUCAGAAACAACCAGCUGAGAGGGCUGCAAGUGACGAGAAAGAUUCUGUUUCGAAUAUAGCCACAGAAAUAAAGGAUGGACAACAAUCUGGGAGACAUAAUUUUGCAAAGCACAUUUAAUGUCAUGUUCAGCCAAGAUAGAAAAGAACUUCUCUUCCCCGAAUAAAUCAGCGGGGGACUCUUUGAAGCUGCACAUUCUGAUUCAGUAGGCCUGAGAUUCUUCAUUUGUAGUAAGUUCUCAGGUGACACUGAUGCUGCUGGUCUUCGACAUGAACUUUGCAGUAAGAUUAUAGACUUCCACACAUUGAAAUUGGGAAGAAGAAAGGUUGGAGAGCCAUUAAAGACAUAAGGAGUCAGGGGACAGCAUAAUUUUGCUUUAAUUCUACAGCAUGUUUUCACCAAGGGUGGAAGGAGAAAGAGAUGAAGUAUAGAUUUUACAGACGUCACAUCGUAUUGCUAAAAACAGAUGGGAGAAAUGAUUGUAAAAACCCAUAAAUGCUGUAGAACAAGAACUAAGGAGACCAUUGAUGUAGCAAUGACUUUCCUCAAGGAAGAGGAUUGUCAGGCAGGAAGGAGGGAAAAUAAGAAGUUAUUUAUGUAAUUUUGGGAUUUCUUCUAAGGAAACCUGAGUUCAGUUGCAUAUUCGAACAUUUUCCUAAAAGAAGCUUUGAUUUUGGCUGCUUUAGGAACCAGUGGAAGCAGGAAGGAGUACUAGAACUGGGACAAGUCACAGUGACUCAUUACUCCUCUUUGUUACUGUUGGGCAUCAGAGAUAUACAUUUUGUUUAUAUUAGUUAUUCAAAUGAGAUAAACAUGAAUAUGCAUAUAUUGGCUUUGCUUUUCAAUUAGCUAACUUUUGGAUAAAAAUAGCAAUUUAAUGAAAAUGCUUUAGAGAAUAACAUGAUAUUUUAAACCAGAC